AGAGUUUGAUCAUGGCUCAGAUUGAACGCUGGCGGCAUCCUUACACAUGCAAGUCGAACGGCAGCACGGGGGCAACCCUGGUGGCGAGUGGCGAACGGGUGAGUAAUACAUCGGAACGUGCCCAGUAGUGGGGGAUAGCUCGGCGAAAGCCGGAUUAAUACCGCAUACGACCUACGGGUGAAAGCGGGGGAUCGCAAGACCUCGCGCUAUUGGAGCGGCCGAUGUCAGAUUAGGUUGUUGGUGGGGUAAAAGCCCACCAAGCCGACGAUCUGUAGCUGGUCUGAGAGGACGACCAGCCACACUGGGACUGAGACACGGCCCAGACUCCUACGGGAGGCAGCAGUGGGGAAUUUUGGACAAUGGGCGAAAGCCUGAUCCAGCCAUGCCGCGUGCGGGAAGAAGGCCUUCGGGUUGUAAACCGCUUUUGUCAGGGAAGAAAUCUUCCGAGCUAAUACCUUGGGAGGAUGACGGUACCUGAAGAAUAAGCACCGGCUAACUACGUGCCAGCAGCCGCGGUAAUACGUAGGGUGCAAGCGUUAAUCGGAAUUACUGGGCGUAAAGCGUGCGCAGGCGGUUAUGCAAGACAGAUGUGAAAUCCCCGGGCUUAACCUGGGAACUGCAUUUGUGACUGCAUAGCUGGAGUACGGUAGAGGGGGAUGGAAUUCCGCGUAGCAGUGAAAUGCGUAGAUAUGCGGAGGAACACCGAUGGCGAAGGCAUCCCCUGGACCUGUACUGACGCUCAUGCACGAAAGCGUGGGGAGCAAACAGGAUUAGAUACCCNNGUAGUCC
RNAcentral lists this ribosomal RNA (789 nucleotides) under uncultured bacterium. Its description in RNAcentral is "bacterial SSU rRNA". It matches the Rfam family "Bacterial small subunit ribosomal RNA", at positions 8 to 796 of the family's 1533-position model. The record is from RNAcentral.